CAGCAGCCGCCGCGGUAAUACGGAGGGAGCUAGCGUUGUUCGGAAUUACUGGGCGUAAAGCGCACGUAGGCGGCUUUGUAAGUCAGAGGUGAAAGCCUGGAGCUCAACUCCAGAACUGCCUUUGAGACUGCAUCGCUCGAAUCCGGGAGAGGUGAGUGGAAUUCCGAGUGUAAAGGUGAAAUUCGUAGAUAUUCGGAAGAACACCAAUGGCGAAGGCGGCUCACUGGACCGGUAUUGACGCUGAGGUGCGAAAGCGUGGGGAGCAAACAGGAUUAGAUACCCCUGUAGUCCCUGUCUCUUAUAC
Molecule: ribosomal RNA, 304 nt
Filed under: uncultured bacterium
Lineage: Bacteria
Description: partial 16S ribosomal RNA
Rfam family: Bacterial small subunit ribosomal RNA
Source: RNAcentral